ACUCCUACGGGAGGCAGCAGUGGGGAAUAUUGCACAAUGGGGGAAACCCUGAUGCAGCCAUGCCGCGUGUGUGAAGAAGGCCUUCGGGUUGUAAAGCACUUUCAGUAGGGAGGAAGGUAGUGUAGUUAACACCUGCAUUAUUUGACGUUACCUACAGAAGAAGCACCGGCUAACUCCGUGCCAGCAGCCGCGGUAAUACGGAGGGUGCGAGCGUUAAUCGGAAUUACUGGGCGUAAAGCGCAUGCAGGCGGCCUGUUAAGUCAGAUGUGAAAGCCCGGGGCUUAACCUCGGAAUUGCAUUUGAAACUGGCAGGCUAGAGUCUUGUAGAGGGGGGUAGAAUUUCAGGUGUAGCGGUGAAAUGCGUAGAGAUCUGAAGGAAUACCAGUGGCGAAGGCGGCCCCCUGGACAAAGACUGACGCUCAGAUGCGAAAGCGUGGGGAGCAAACAGGAUUA
RNAcentral lists this ribosomal RNA (453 nucleotides) under uncultured bacterium. RNAcentral describes it as "bacterial SSU rRNA". It matches the Rfam family "Bacterial small subunit ribosomal RNA", at positions 335 to 780 of the family's 1533-position model. The record is from RNAcentral.